AAAGAAAAGAAAGAAAAGAAAAGAGAAAUGAAAAAAAAAAUAGGAAAACAGGUGAAGACAAUGAACAAAUGGCUCCACUUUUGUAACCAACAGAGAUUCCAGCAUGAUCACAAACAAAACAUCUGACAACUCAAAAAAGUAUCUCCAUGUGUUUCCACACAUGGACCAAUUUGGACUGGAAUGAAAAGUGUGAGCUACCACAAACAGUUCCUCUUCAGGUCAUAUAUGGUGGUCACCCCAACACUAUGCUCUUCUGUAAAACAUUUUACACUUACAGCCUUGUCCAGUUUCUCUCUCCAACAACUUGACUUCCUGUGCU
This 319-nucleotide long non-coding RNA is filed under the name Homo sapiens (human). RNAcentral describes it as "HSALNT0313254". The record is from RNAcentral. Lineage: Eukaryota; Metazoa; Chordata; Mammalia; Primates; Hominidae.